Oryza brachyantha (malo sina) is the source of this 2007-nucleotide RNA transcript. It is a transcript of the gene named carboxyl-terminal-processing peptidase 2, chloroplastic, with no coding region annotated. The record is from RefSeq and is a predicted model, not a curated record. The transcript is spliced from 11 exons. Lineage: Eukaryota; Viridiplantae; Streptophyta; Magnoliopsida; Poales; Poaceae.
GAGAGCUCAUCGGCUGCGCAAAAGGGCGAGGCCGAUGGCGACGUGCUCCCGCCCACUCUUCUCCGUCCCCGCCGCCGCCGCCUCCCCGUCGCCGGCCGUGACCCGUCGGGGCGCUCGUCUCCUACGGCUGCACACGGUGGCAGUUGUUUCCACAUGGGAACCUCGUAGUCAUCGGUGUGCUCACAUGAAUCUGUGCUGCAAGGCAACGAGGAGAACCAGCAGUGAUUUAACAACUGGACAGCAUAUCUCCGCAUUGCCGCGGGCAGUGAAGAGAAUGCUGUCAAGCUAUGCAUCCCUGCUGAUGAGUCUGCGUGGUAAUCUUGCGAAAGGCUAUAAGGCAGCCAAGCCCUUUCUGUCGAUUGGCUUUGGCCGUGUGGUUUUGGGUGUGGUGCUUGUUAUGUCUGUAUCUGCAGCCACCUAUACAUCACCUUCAUCAUCGGCGCUCACUGAGGAAAAUUUGCUUUUCCUGGAGGCUUGGCGUGCAGUUGAUCGUGCGUAUUAUGACAAAUCGUUCAAUGGGCAGAGUUGGUUUAGAUACCGUGAAACUGCUCUUCGCAAUGAACCAAUGAAUACGCGGGAAGAGACAUAUGCUGCAAUAAAGAAAAUGCUUUCAACAUUGGACGACCCAUUCACUCGUUUCUUGGAACCCGAGAAAUUCAAGAGUUUGCGGGAAGUCUGGCUCGCAAGGCACACUCACGGGUGUAGGUUUGUCGAUUGGCUACCCAAUGGCGCUUAAUGGAUCACCUUCAGGGCUUGCUGUCAUGUCAGCCACCCCAGGAGGUCCUGCAGAAAAGUCUGGUAUUCUUACUGGAGAUAUUAUAUUGGCAAUUGACAACAGAAGCACAGAAGACAUGGAUAUAUAUGAUGCAGCAGAACGCUUACAGGGCCCUGAAGGAAGCUCAGUGGAUUUGGACAUUCGUAGUGGCUCCAAUACCAGGCAUGUUGUUGUGAAGUAAGCUCCUUCUCGUGAUACCCUCAUAGAUUUGGAGAGCAAAGAGUCAUUUCGUUUCAUUAGUUGUUGCAUUAUUUGAUUUAUCAUAGGAGACAAAAGGUCACUUUAAACCCAGUAAGGUCGAGGAUGUGUGAAAUUCCAGGUGCAAAAGAUAACUCAAAGAUUGGUUACAUUAAAUUGACAACUUUCAACCAGAACGCCGCAGGUUAGUGACUUUGAGUUGAUUCUGAUGCCUUUAUAAAACACCAUAUGUUUCCUUAGAUGUUAUUUCCUGCUGAUCAUAUUAAUCGGUCAUCUUCUCCCAGGAUCUGUUAAGGAAGCUCUUAAGAAAUUAAGGGACAAUGAUGUGAAGUCUUUUGUAUUGGAUCUGCGAAAUAACAGCGGUGGUCUUUUUCCUGAAGGAAUUGAAAUUGCAAAGAUUUGGAUGGACAAGGGUGUUAUUGUGUAUAUAUGUGAUAGCCAAGGUGUUCGUGACAUCUAUGAGGCAGAUGGAAUCAGUACGGUUGCGGCAUCGGAGCCUUUAGUUGUGCUGGUAAACAAAGGGACUGCAAGCGCAAGUGAGAUCCUUGCUGGGGCACUGAAGGACAACAAAAGGGCAGUGAUAUAUGGGGAGCCAACAUACGGGAAAGGGAAGAUCCAGUCGGUGUUUGCGUUAUCUGACGGCUCUGGCUUAGCUGUGACCGUUGCUCGCUAUGAAACUCCUGCCCAUACGGACAUAGACAAGAUCGGCGUGAUCCCGGACCGUCCGCUGCCGGCGUCAUUCCCCACGGAUGAAGACGCCUUCUGCAGCUGCCUCAGGGACUCCAGCUCUGCCUGCAACCUUAACGCUGCUCAGCUGUUCACAAGAUGAUGCGUCUGGAACGGAGAAGCCCAUUUUGGCCGGUUUUUUGUUCACAUUUUGGAGUGGCCGAGUUCCAUCGGUCCAUGUUCAUUGUUCAUUUUGUUUGAAAAUUUGUCUAGAAUCCCAAAUUUACCUUAGCUGGUGGAACUGUGCUGGUAUGUGUCGCUGUAAAAAUCAUGUGUAACUGUAGAUCAUUUUUUUUUAAUUUGCGUGA